AGCCUAGCUUGCUAGGUGAAUUAGUGGCGGACGGGUGAGUAAUAUAUCGGAACGUGUCCAUUAAUGGGGGAUAACUAGUCGAAAGGCUGGCUAAUACCGCAUACGCCCUGAGGGGGAAAGCUAGGGAUUCUUCGGAACCUGGCGUUAAUGGAGCGGCCGAUACCUGAUUAGCUAGUUGGUGGGGUAAAGGCCUACCAAGGCAACGAUCAGUAGCUGGUCUGAGAGGACGACCAGCCACACUGGGACUGAGACACGGCCCAGACUCCUACGGGAGGCAGCAGUGGGGAAUUUUGGACAAUGGGGGAAACCCUGAUCCAGCCAUUCCGCGUGAGUGAAGAAGGCCUUCGGGUUGUAAAGCUCUUUCGCAAGGGAAGAAACGAUAUAGGUUAAUAGCUUAUGUUAAUGACGGUACCUUGACAAGAAGCACCGGCUAACUACGUGCCAGCAGCCGCGGUAAUACGUAGGGUGCAAGCGUUAAUCGGAAUUACUGGGCGUAAAGCGUGCGCAGGCUGUUUUGUAAGUCAGAUGUGAAAUCCCCGAGCUCAACUUGGGAACUGCGUUUGAAACUACAAGACUAGAAUAGGUCAGAGGGGGGUAGAAUUCCAUGUGUAGCAGUGAAAUGCGUAGA
Molecule: ribosomal RNA, 628 nt
Filed under: uncultured bacterium
Lineage: Bacteria
Description: bacterial SSU rRNA
Rfam family: Bacterial small subunit ribosomal RNA
Source: RNAcentral